This 734-nucleotide ribosomal RNA is filed under the name uncultured Acidobacteriota bacterium. RNAcentral's name for it is "bacterial SSU rRNA". It matches the Rfam family "Bacterial small subunit ribosomal RNA", at positions 75 to 792 of the family's 1533-position model. Lineage: Bacteria; Pseudomonadati; Acidobacteriota. The record is from RNAcentral.
GGGGGCAACCCCCAAGUAGAGCGGCGAACGGGUGAGUAACACGUGGGUGAUCUUCCUUCGAGUGGGGAAUAACACCGGGAAACUGGUGCUAAUACCGCAUGACAUCCUCGAUUCAUUUCGGGGAUCAAAGCCGGGGACCGCAAGGCCUGGCGCUUGAAGAUGAGCCCGCGUCCGAUUAGCUAGUUGGCGGGGUAACGGCCCACCAAGGCAACGAUCGGUAGCCGGCCUGAGAGGGCGGACGGCCACACUGGGACUGAGACACGGCCCAGACUCCUACGGGAGGCAGCAGUGGGGAAUUUUUCGCAAUGGGGGAAACCCUGACGAAGCAACGCCGCGUGGAGGAUGAAGGCCUUCGGGUCGUAAACUCCUGUCGACCGGGAAGAAUGCACCUGACCUAAUACGUCGGCGUGUUGACUGUACCGGUGGAGGAAGCCACGGCUAACUCUGUGCCAGCAGCCGCGGUAAUACAGAGGUGGCAAGCGUUGUUCGGAAUUACUGGGCGUAAAGGGCGCGUAGGCGGCCCGUCAAGUCCCGUGUGAAAGCCCCCGGCUCAACCGGGGAACUGCACGGGAAACUAGCAGGCUUGAGUUCGGGAGAGGGAAGCGGAAUUUCGGGUGUAGCGGUGAAAUGCGCAGAUACCCGAAGGAACACCGGUGGCGAAGGCGGCUUCCUGGACCGACACUGACGCUGAGGCGCGAAAGCUAGGGGAGCAAACGGGAUUAGAUACCCCGGUA